GCACGAGCUUGUGGACGAGGAUGCCGUACGAGAUCAAAAAAGUGUUCGCCAGCCUCCCGCAGGUUGAACGAGGCGUGUCCAAAAUCAUUGGAGGUGAUCCGAAAGGCAACAAUUUUCUCUAUACCAAUGGGAAAUGCGUCGUCAUCCGAAAUAUCGAUGUAACGUAUCCCGAUGUAUUUAUUUAGUCUCUUCGCGUACCCCUCGCGAAGUUCCGUUUCCCCCCCCCUUCCUCCCCCGUCUCCCCGUGCUCCCCUCACGGCGGGGAGCCGCGCUGGAGCUCACGGCGCUGCGCUGAGCGGGGAUAGGAAGGAAGGUGCGUGACUAAAGCAGAAGCGGCUGCAAAAAUUCCUGAAGAAUCGCAGUGAAACGUGCAGCUCUCGCCCUCUCUUUGCAUGGAGUGUGUAGAGGAGAGAGGCUGAUAGUUCUGCCUGGCCUUGUGUGUUUUUCUGAAAUAGCACGGUCAGGAGUUGGGAGAUGUGUUUGCCUAAUAAAUGAAGACUUCCUUA
Molecule: non-coding RNA, 506 nt
Organism: Meleagris gallopavo (turkey)
Lineage: Eukaryota; Metazoa; Chordata; Aves; Galliformes; Phasianidae
Source: RefSeq, a predicted model, not a curated record